Dermacentor albipictus is the source of this 340-nucleotide long non-coding RNA. RefSeq lists it as uncharacterized. The record is from RefSeq and is a predicted model, not a curated record. NCBI's taxonomy places the organism in Eukaryota, Metazoa, Arthropoda, Arachnida, Ixodida, Ixodidae.
UCCGCCUGCUAGCCAUGACAAAGGCUUCAAGCAUGAAAAUUUUGGUGGCUCUGGCAAUAUUUUGCCUUCUUUCCAAUAUACAGCAAUGUAAUGCGGCGGACAGACCAGGUGGUGGAGGCCACCAAGGAAACGGGCCAAGAGGCGCUCAUGGAGGAGGAGGAGGUGGCGGUGGACGAAGAGGUGGGAGAGAUGCCAAUCCUGGUAAAAAUAAUGGAUAGGCGGCAUCAAUAUUAUAGGGAGCUCUGCCGCUAAGCGACGCCUAUUUGAAUUAUCGAAACAAAAAAACAACAACUAAAAAUUUUCAAUAAAGAGUUACGCGCAAUCGGGCGCCACCUCAACA